This 365-nucleotide long non-coding RNA is filed under the name Marmota monax (woodchuck). Lineage: Eukaryota; Metazoa; Chordata; Mammalia; Rodentia; Sciuridae. The record is from RNAcentral.
UGGAUAAGGGAGACACUGCCUAAGAAGACUUCAGGUUGGUGACAGUCCUGGAAGUCUCCCUGAGGCAGAAAGUUUUACAGUAAAUGAGGAACAGCCACCUUUAUCAGAUAUCUAUUUCUGAAAGCCUGACAUUGGCAGGAGAACUCGACAAAGGCAAAGACCUGCGUUGGCUCUAACAGGAGUACGUUCUGAAAAGUUAAUAUCACACCAGAGACAGUUUAUUUUAAAGGCAGGUUGAAACAGACCUGCUACCCUGCAGACUUGAAUGCAACAAAUGAAAUGCAAACUGAGCUCAGCUCCUGCAAGACCCAUUGAAACUGCCCUCCUAUAAAGGUGAGCUGUGUCCCAGCCUUCAAGGAUGGGUU